GAUUUGCAUGGUUGCAGCAACAAUACACCCAGUAAAAUCAGUUUAAAGCAGGCAGGGUUUCUUUGGCUCAUGGUCCCAGGCCUUGUAUAUGAAGCGUCCUCCCCUUCCCCAUGGCUUAAGUCCUAAAACCAGUGCUCCGUGUUGAAGGAUUCCAUGAAUCCCGGUUGGAUUUGGAAGCUUUGAGUGACCCAGACACACAUUCCUCUUCCUUCUGCUCACAGGUACGGCCAGGCUUCCACCAGUGCUCAAGAGACUCAGAAAAGUCCAGCUUGGCAUCAAGCACCGAGAAAAGACGUUAAAACAAACCACGUCCCCUUCCUUCCUGGCCACAAUCUGCCUGAUGGCUGUCAAACCUUCCAGGAUACUCAAUGGCUGGCGCUUGCCUGCUGGGUUGCUGUCUUCCUCCUUCGCUUAUGCUUCCCGCCAGGCUCCUAAGAAAUCUAGUGUCCAGGUCUGAGCUCAUUCCACCACGGGGCUCCUUUGACCAGCACCUGUUGAUGGCGUUUUAUUUUAAACAGAUCUUGGUUUUUAAAGUCCCAGAUUCUGAGACUUCUUCACUCGCUGAUAGAUGCUCCUGACACCAUGCCUGCAGCUUGAGCCUGUGCCUCCCUGCUCUGAUAGACUCGUCCCUCUGGAAGUGCCAAAUUCGAGGACUAAAAGUCUGAGGGGUUGAACUGUGUCACCAGCCAGAUCCAGCCACAGAACAG
Molecule: long non-coding RNA, 707 nt
Filed under: Mus caroli (Ryukyu mouse)
Lineage: Eukaryota; Metazoa; Chordata; Mammalia; Rodentia; Muridae
Description: predicted gene 15318 (MGP_CAROLIEiJ_G0003010.1)
Source: RNAcentral